ACUUAGGUCCCGUCCCGCCCUGGAAGACGGUCUAAAAUCAUGAAUCCAGCAAGCCCUUCCCAGCAGACACCCCCAUCCGGGCCGCUUGUUCUGCAGCAAUGUCCUGAGGAUGGCAUUAUUCCUGCAAUUUGACUCUGAAGUUAGGAUUAUACAGGUCUCGCUAAGUUUCCCAGGCGGGGCUUGAACACUCCAAAACAGGACUUCCCAGUGCUGCUUCAGAAAGCAACAAGAACGACAGAGAAAAAAAUCCCACUGCGAUGGUGAGGCAACCCUGUACUUCCAACACCCUGGGAAGCUGAGGCAGGAGGAUCAGAAGUUUGAGCCAGUCUGGAAGCAGAAGAAGCCAGGCUCUGUAAUGUGAGGACAGCAGAACAGCAGCGUGACCAGGGAGCCAGAAGCAGAUGGCCCAGCUACCCUGCAGAUUUUUACUUAUUAGAGAAAAUGUGAUACUUGUCUGACUCACUUCAGUUAACACAAUGAUCUCCAGUUCCAUCCAUUUCUCCUGCAGGUUUACAGAACGCACAGGAGCAUCUGGAUGGAACAAAGGCCCACGGACCCAGGAGAUAAGCGACCCCUCGAAACUUCCUCCUGCUGAGCGCAUGAGAACCCCCUCCCAGCCCCAAAGAAGUGACAGAAUGCCCAGAUGCGAACGCCUGGCUGCCAGACGAGCUGAGGAUGGCCGGAAGUAACACAGCAAGCCUGGAAAUCUCACGUCUCUCUGUGCUCCACACCCUGCUUCCAUGCUCUGAGAGGCCGUUGCCCACCGUACAUGGCUAGCCAAUGGCAAGGAAGUGAACUGGACUGCGUGAACCCGAUUGGCUGCCAACAGAACCAUUGCCUGCGCCCCAGCAACCCUCAGCAACUGAAACAGCAGCUCUGGGCAGACUGAGUUUGAGGACAGCCUUGGCUAUAUCAAAAGUUCCGGGUUGGCCUGGACUGCAUAAGAGAAGAAACUUCGUGAGCUUUGUGAGUGACCUUUUGUUGGUGGCAGAGAGUGUCCCGAACUGGAACUGGGGUGGGCCUCCUCUGACCUCAGACGCAUUUGCCUUUGUCUGACUUACCUUGAAAUUUGCCUCCCUUUGCCCCAAAUAAAGAAGUGUCAUCUUUAAACACCACGAAGCAAUCUAGAUCCAAGAAAGGGCAAUUUCCUCCGCCUUCCUCUGUUACUUUUCAUACACCUAACACCUUCUCUCCACCAUAAAAUCUAGGCAGAGCUGGGCAUGUUAACACACACCUGCAAUCCCAGUAAUCUUGAAGGCUAAGG
Fukomys damarensis (Damara mole-rat) is the source of this 1264-nucleotide long non-coding RNA. RefSeq lists it as uncharacterized. Lineage: Eukaryota; Metazoa; Chordata; Mammalia; Rodentia; Bathyergidae. The transcript is spliced from 8 exons. The record is from RefSeq and is a predicted model, not a curated record.